AUUUAGAUAGUCUACACAUCAAAGAAGUAUCAAAAUAGAGAAGCAUAGGCUACAACACUCAUGUAUCCACAUGAAGCAUCACAAGUUAUGUUUCAAUCCUCCUUGAAAUACAAGAUCAACACCAUACCUCAAGAAGCUGCUUUCCCAGGAGGCAGAGCAACCGCCGGCUUGGCCUCGCCGGAGCAGCACCCCCCACCGUGGUGAUGGUGAUGAUGAUGCCCCGGAAAGAUCUCCCUCCCCUUGAGCUGCUUCCUCAUAUCAUAAGCAUCCUCUCCAUCCG
RNAcentral lists this unclassified non-coding RNA (280 nucleotides) under Hevea brasiliensis (rubber tree). Lineage: Eukaryota; Viridiplantae; Streptophyta; Magnoliopsida; Malpighiales; Euphorbiaceae. The record is from RNAcentral.